This 333-nucleotide long non-coding RNA is filed under the name Ananas comosus (pineapple). Its description in RNAcentral is "long non-coding RNA (ACOM_LNC014104)". Lineage: Eukaryota; Viridiplantae; Streptophyta; Magnoliopsida; Poales; Bromeliaceae. The record is from RNAcentral.
UGAUUUAGAAUCUUCAAAAAAUCUAACUUUUAUGUGAUUAUGACUGUUCAUUUUGUUGACAUUUACUUAUUUACUAGAUAGUUACAGAUAUUCUAGAUUAUAUUUAAAUGUGUUGAUGAGAUUCGAAAGUUCGAUCACUAAAUAUAAACUUUUUUUUUGAGAGAUAGGUAGCAUGCUACUCGCUUCGUUUAUUUCAUUUAUAAAUAAAUUUAACUGGGAAUGUGAAUUAACUAGGAUUCGAACUUGAGAUCUCGGGUACCAACCACCAAAUCCUUUACCACUUACGUUAGGGACGGUCAAUCACUAAAAACAAAAUUUAAAAAAAAAAAGGUG